RNAcentral lists this ribosomal RNA (305 nucleotides) under uncultured bacterium. RNAcentral describes it as "bacterial SSU rRNA". It matches the Rfam family "Bacterial small subunit ribosomal RNA", at positions 334 to 656 of the family's 1533-position model. The record is from RNAcentral.
UAGGCCUACGGGGGGCAGCAGUGGGGAAUAUUGCGCAAUGGGGGAAACCCUGAUGCAGCAACGCCGCGUGAGGGAAGACGGUUUUCGGAUUGUAAACCUCUGUCCUCUGUGAAGAUAAUGACGGUAGCAGAGGAGGAAGCUCCGGCUAACUACGUGCCAGCAGCCGCGGUAAUACGUAGGGAGCAAGCGUUGUCCGGAUUUACUGGGUGUAAAGGGUGCGUAGGCGGCCUUGCAAGUCAGAAGUGAAAUCCAUGGGCUUAACCCGUGAACUGCUUUUGGAACUGUAGGGCUUGAGUGAAGUAGAG